GGAGUUUGGGCCGUGUCUCAGUCCCAAUGUGGCCAUUCGCCCUCUCAGGUCGGCUAUGCAUCGUCGCCUUGGUAGGCCGUUACCCCACCAACCAGCUAAUGCACCGCAGGUCCAUCCAUGUUCAGGGCCGCAGCCCCUUUAAUAAGGUCCUCAUGCGAGAUCCCUACCUAUCCGGUUUUAGUUUCCGUUUCCAGAAAUUAUCCCGGGCACAUGGGCAGGUUACCUACGUGUUACUCACCCGUUCGCCACUGACUUCCAAAAAAGCAAGCUUUUCUCUUUAGUCCGUUCGACUUGCAUGUAUUAGGCAUGCCGCCAGCGUUCAUC
This 324-nucleotide ribosomal RNA is filed under the name uncultured Eubacterium sp. Its description in RNAcentral is "partial 16S ribosomal RNA". Lineage: Bacteria; Bacillati; Bacillota; Clostridia; Eubacteriales; Eubacteriaceae. The record is from RNAcentral.